This 599-nucleotide ribosomal RNA is filed under the name Pseudoalteromonas distincta. RNAcentral describes it as "bacterial SSU rRNA". It matches the Rfam family "Bacterial small subunit ribosomal RNA", at positions 70 to 652 of the family's 1533-position model. The record is from RNAcentral. Lineage: Bacteria; Pseudomonadati; Pseudomonadota; Gammaproteobacteria; Alteromonadales; Pseudoalteromonadaceae.
CCCUUCGGGGGUGACGCUUGUGGAAUGAGCGGCGGACGGGUGAGUAACACGUGGGCAACCUGCCUGUAAGACUGGGAUAACCCCGGGAAACCGGGGCUAAUACCGGAUAAUACUUUCUUUUGCAUAAAGGAAAGUUGAAAGGCGGCUUCGGCUGUCACUUACAGAUGGGCCCGCGGCGCAUUAGCUAGUUGGUGAGGUAACGGCUCACCAAGGCGACGAUGCGUAGCCGACCUGAGAGGGUGAUCGGCCACACUGGGACUGAGACACGGCCCAGACUCCUACGGGAGGCAGCAGUAGGGAAUCUUCCGCAAUGGACGAAAGUCUGACGGAGCAACGCCGCGUGAGUGAUGAAGGUUUUCGGAUCGUAAAACUCUGUUGUUAGGGAAGAACAAGUUGGGUAGUAACUGACCCAACCUUGACGGUACCUAACCAGAAAGCCACGGCUAACUACGUGCCAGCAGCCGCGGUAAUACGUAGGUGGCAAGCGUUGUCCGGAAUUAUUGGGCGUAAAGCGCUCGCAGGCGGUCCUUUAAGUCUGAUGUGAAAUCUCGCGGCUCAACCGCGAACGGUCAUUGGAAACUGGAGGACUUGAGUACAGA